This 463-nucleotide ribosomal RNA is filed under the name Isochrysis galbana. RNAcentral's name for it is "partial Bacterial large subunit ribosomal RNA". It matches the Rfam family "Bacterial large subunit ribosomal RNA", at positions 15 to 534 of the family's 2925-position model. The record is from RNAcentral. Lineage: Eukaryota; Haptophyta; Isochrysidales; Isochrysidaceae.
GCGCAUACGGUGGAUGCCUUGGCAGUCAGAGGCGAUGAAGGACGUAGGAGCCUGCGAUAAGCGUUGGUGAGCUGGCAAGCAAGCUUUGACCCAACGAUUUCCGAAUGGGGAAACCCAACCAACAUAAGUUGGUUAUCUUGCACUGAAUUCAUAGGUGUAAGAAGCGAACGGGGGGAACUGAAACAUCUAAGUACCCCUAGGAACAGAAAUCAACCGAGAUUCCCUUAGUAGCGGCGAGCGAACGGGGACCAGCCGAGCCAUGAGAGUGACCAGAACAAUCUGGAAAGGUUGACCAUAGUGGGUGACAGUCCCGUAUGGGAAGCUCAAUUGGACGUAUUAAGUAGGGCGGGACACGUGAAAUCCUGUCUGAACAUGGGGGGACCACCCUCUAAGGCUAAGUACUCCUUACUGACCGAUAGUGAACCAGUACCGUGAGGGAAAGGCGAAAAGCACCCCGACGAGG